UGCUAUUGUGACUACGAUAAUGUUUAUUUUUUAUAAAAUGUCAAAAUAAUAAACAUUACGCAAAUAAUUUUUUAUCCGAAAUUUCUCGAUUAUGUUUAUUACAGAGUCAGUUGCGGUGUGCAAAUUGGUUGCGCGAGAAUAAUGCAGCAGGAAUAAUGGUCGCCGAGCAAUUUCCCUUGUUUAAGCUGGCGACGCAGAUAGCACGCCAGCUAAGUUCACCAGUGGCAAGUCGAGUCAAGGAUUUUGCGAAGUCAAAUCCCCGCUUCAGCGUCGCCGUAUGUGAACGAGUUGCGAUAUUAUAUCGUGAAGCGGAGUGGCGCGCGCGCAUCACAGCUUUGCGACUUGCAGGAACCGCAUCACCCGCAUUGAUGGCUUCGCGUGCCCCACCAAUGCCACGCCGACAAGCCCUCGAGCUCGGAGGAGAUCUUAUCGGUGAAAUGGUGAUAUUUAUCAUCGGUUCUAUGAUAAUAAUAUUCGAAGUAAACCGCCAAGCAGCAAUCAAGGAGGCUAAGUGAUUUAGCAGUUAGUCGGCAAUUAGCAGGCGUUAGAACACAAGUCGGAAUGGUUGUGUGUUAAGCUGUCUCUAGAGGAAGUGCAACGGGAAGUGCAGGCACAGCAGGUUGACCUGAACCGCCUGCAUGCUGCUCUUAAGGCACUAUAUGAACCAACUCCACCCGCUCCUAGCACUCCGCACACAUAAGCCAAGAAGAAAAAUUAUGGUUUCCAAUACCAGAACCAUUGCCCAAAAGUACGAGGCUUUGAAUGGUCUUAAGUCGAAGCGAAAAAAUUGGCGAGAGUCAGUGGUCUUAAAAUCUGGAAUAGUUAAUAAAUAUUAAGGUUUCAUAGUUUCACGGCUAAGGGUUUGAUUUAUAAUGACAAAAAUGGGACGCCGUCAAUAAUUAACAUAUAUAAUCUAAGUAGAUCAUAUUUUUAAAGAGAAUAAAUAUAUGGCUAGUAAAAGCACCCAACAGUAAAUGUAUGUAAUAAAAAUAGUCGCUUCUCUUAAAAGUUAGUCUUACCAAGUACUAGUAUACAUACCUCCAAUACUUGCCAUCGUUAACAUUUUCAUAACAAAGCUUAUCGUAGUUGCACCCUCAGCAUUGUUUCUCGCACGUUGAAAUCGUCUGAAAACUGUUUAACGGUACGAAUUAAAUACAACCUGUAGUUAUAAUGUUAUAUAUAAUAUAUUAAAUUAACAAUUGUAUCGAAAUGUGACCAGUUUUUUCUAUAAAAUAAGAAAUAAUAGUUAAGACAUCUUAGUACGAAUCCCAAAAAUUAAACGGUUUUGAUUUUUA
Molecule: long non-coding RNA, 1295 nt
Organism: Pieris brassicae (large cabbage white)
Lineage: Eukaryota; Metazoa; Arthropoda; Insecta; Lepidoptera; Pieridae
Exons: 4
Source: RefSeq, a predicted model, not a curated record